This 422-nucleotide ribosomal RNA is filed under the name uncultured bacterium. RNAcentral describes it as "bacterial SSU rRNA". It matches the Rfam family "Bacterial small subunit ribosomal RNA", at positions 355 to 774 of the family's 1533-position model. The record is from RNAcentral.
UGAGGAAUAUUGGUCAAUGGGGGCAACCCUGAACCAGCCAAGUCGCGUGAAGGAUGAAGGUCUUAUGGAUUGUAAACUUCUUUUAUACAGGAAUAAAUUGGGGGACGUGUCCCCUUUUGCAUGUACUGUAUGAAUAAGGAUCGGCUAACUCCGUGCCAGCAGCCGCGGUAAUACGGAGGAUCCGAGCGUUAUCCGGAUUUAUUGGGUUUAAAGGGUGCGCAGGCGGGAUGUUAAGCCGGCGGUGAAAUUUUGCAGCUCAACUGUAAAAGUGCCUUCGAUACUGGCCUCCUUGAGUGUGGAUGAAGUAGGCGGAAUUUGUGGUGUAGCGGUGAAAUGCUUAGAUAUCACGAGGAACUCCGAUUGCGCAGGCAGCUUACUAAGCCACAACUGACGCUCAUGCACGAAGGCGUGGGGAUCAAACA